GAUGAACGCUAGCGGCAGGCCUAAUACAUGCAAGUCGAGGGGCAGCGCGGUAGCAAUACUGGCGGCGACCGGCGCACGGGUGCGUAACACGUAUGCAACCUACCUUCAACUGGAGGAUAGCCCGGGGAAACUCGGAUUAAAUACUCCAUAAUACAGGGAUCCCGCAUGGGAAUAUUGUUAAAAGCUACGGCGGUUGAAGAUGGGCAUGCGUUCGAUUAGCUAGUUGGUGUAGGUAACGGCUCACCAAGGCUACGAUCGAUAGGGGGUCUGAGAGGAUGAUCCCCCACACUGGUACUGAGAUACGGACCAGACUCCUACGGGAGCAGCAGUAGGGAAUAUGGUCAAAUGGGCGCAAAGCCUGAACCAGCCAUGCCGCGUGCAGGAAGAAAGGCCCUUCUGGGGUUGUAAAACUGCUUUUGAUAGGGAACAAAUGCCACUUGCGAGUGGAGCUGAGUGUACCUAUAGAAUAAGCACCGGGCUAAACUCCGUGCCAGCAG
RNAcentral lists this ribosomal RNA (497 nucleotides) under uncultured bacterium. RNAcentral's name for it is "bacterial SSU rRNA". It matches the Rfam family "Bacterial small subunit ribosomal RNA", at positions 28 to 514 of the family's 1533-position model. The record is from RNAcentral.